Molecule: ribosomal RNA, 565 nt
Filed under: uncultured Glomeromycotina
Lineage: Eukaryota; Fungi; Glomeromycota
Description: SSU rRNA
Rfam family: Eukaryotic small subunit ribosomal RNA
Source: RNAcentral
UUGGAGGGCAAGUCUGGUGCCAGCAGCCGCGGUAAUUCCAGCUCCAAUAGCGUAUAUUAAAGUUGUUGCAGUUAAAAAGCUCGUAGUUGAAUUUCGGGGUCAGUAGGUUGGUCAUGCCACUGGUAUGUACUGGCCUCACUGAUUCCUCCUUCUUGAUGAGCCGUAAUGCCAUUAAUUUGGUGUUGCGAGGAAUCUGGACUGUUACUUUGAAAAAAUUAGAGUGUUUAAAGCAGGCUAACGCUUGAAUACAUUAGCAUGGAAUAAUGAAAUAGGACGUUCGAUCUUAUUUUGUUGGUUUCUAAGAUUGACGUAAUGAUUAAUAGGGAUAGUUGGGGGCAUUAGUAUUCAAUUGUCAGAGGUGAAAUUCUUGGAUUUAUUGAAGACUAACUACUGCGAAAGCAUUUGCCAAGGAUGUUUUCAUUAAUCAAGGACGAAAGUUAGGGGAUCGAAGACGAUCAGAUACCGUCGUAGUCUUAACCAUAAACUAUGCCGACUAGGGAUCGGAUGAUGUUAAUUUUUUAAUGACUCAUUCGGCGCCUUACGGGAAACCAAAGUGUUUGRGUUC